CGAACUUGAGCACGCACAC
This 19-nucleotide unclassified non-coding RNA is filed under the name Mus musculus (house mouse). RNAcentral's name for it is "oocyte_clustered_small_RNA14264". Lineage: Eukaryota; Metazoa; Chordata; Mammalia; Rodentia; Muridae. The record is from RNAcentral.